RNAcentral lists this long non-coding RNA (496 nucleotides) under Phoenix dactylifera (date palm). Its description in RNAcentral is "long non-coding RNA (PDAC_LNC021711)". Lineage: Eukaryota; Viridiplantae; Streptophyta; Magnoliopsida; Arecales; Arecaceae. The record is from RNAcentral.
AGGAAAGAACCCUAAAAUCCAAGUCGAUUGGCGUGGAUUACCAAAAUUACCUCAAAAAAUCUAUUGAAUUACCUCUUUCUCAGGCGGAGGGAGAUGGGGCCGGCCGGUCGGCGCCGCAGAGGAGGAAGGAGGAGAGGAGGACGCGGACGGUCGCUCGGUGCCAGAGAGGAGGGAGGAGGAGAGGAGCUUGCCGUCGUACGUCGCUCGGCGCCGGAGAGGACAAGGGCCGCUCGCUCGUCGUCAGAGAGGACAAGGGCCGCUCGCUCGUCGUCGGAGAGAAGGGAGGAGGAGAAGGGGCUAGGGCUUGAUCGAUCGGUCGGAAUGCAAAAUGAGGAGAAGGGGGCCGGCCGCUUGGUUUUGGUUGUAAAUUUGACUUUGGACGACGCUUAUAAGCGUCGUCUUAGACUGUGAGUACGACGACGCUUAUUAGCGUCGGCUAUUCUUAAGAAUUACCGACGCUUAAUUAAAGCGUCGGUAAAUGUCAGCGGCGUUCCUG